Molecule: ribosomal RNA, 493 nt
Filed under: uncultured bacterium
Lineage: Bacteria
Description: bacterial SSU rRNA
Rfam family: Bacterial small subunit ribosomal RNA
Source: RNAcentral
AAAUGAAUUGACGGGGGCCCGCACAAGCGGCGGAGCAUGCGGAUUAAUUCGAUGCAACGCGAAGAACCUUACCAAGGCUUGACAUGUACCGCGACACUGCAGAGAUGUGGUGGCCUUCGGGGUGGUGCACAGGUGGUGCAUGGUUGUCGUCAGCUCGUGUCGUGAGAUGUUGGGUUAAGUCCCGCAACGAGCGCAACCCUUGCCCUAUGUUGCCAGCACGUUGUGGUGGGGACUCGUGGGGGACUGCCGGGGUUAACUCGGAGGAAGGUGGGGAUGACGUCAAAUCAUCAUGCCCCUUAUGUCUUGGGCUUCACGCAUGCUACAAUGGUCGGUACAGAGGGUUGCGAUGCCGCAAGGUGGAGCGAAUCCCUUAAAGCCGGUCUCAGUUCGGAUUGGGGUCUGCAACUCGACCCCAUGAAGGUGGAGUCGCUAGUAAUCGCAGAUCAGCAACGCUGCGGUGAAUACGUUCUCGGGCCUUGUACACACCGCCCGU